RNAcentral lists this ribosomal RNA (332 nucleotides) under uncultured bacterium. RNAcentral's name for it is "bacterial SSU rRNA". It matches the Rfam family "Bacterial small subunit ribosomal RNA", at positions 568 to 898 of the family's 1533-position model. The record is from RNAcentral.
CGCGUAGGCGGUCCCGCACGUCGGAGGUGAAAUCCCCGGGCUCAACCCGGGAGCUGCCUCCGAUACGGCAGGGCUUGAGUCCGGGAGAGGGGAGCAGAAUUCCCAGUGUAGCGGUGAAAUGCGUAGAUAUUGGGAGGAAUACCGGUGGCGAAGGCGGCUCCCUGGACCGGUACUGACGCUGAGGCGCGAAAGCGUGGGUAGCAAACAGGAUUAGAUACCCUGGUAGUCCACGCCGUAAACGAUGGGUGCUUGGUGUCGGGGGUAUCGACCCCUCCGGUGCCGAAGCUAACGCAUUAAGCACCCCGCCUGGGGAGUACGGUCGCAAGGCUGAA